AUGCUUCUCCCACAUCAGCCCAACCUGACCCCUGCUCCUACCCCAGGUGGGAAACCCCCCUACACCAUCUCCGAGGUGCGGGGGCCAGAGCAGUGCCUGCUGGGCCAGGAGGUGACCCUGCGCUGCUGCAUGGAGGGGACCUUCCCCGAGGACACGGCCGUGACGUGGGAGCGGGUCCAGGGCGAGGACAGGACGGCCACCGAGCCGCACGGGGACACGGCCGACCCCGAGCGCCUGCCGCUGUUACGCGCCCUGCCCCCGGGCUGGACCGCGACGCAGGAGAGAAGCGCGACCGGCCUCACGGCCUCCCUGACCUUCACCGCCGCGGUGCAGGACGACGGGGCGCGCGUUCGGUGCUGCUUCCACCACGGGGCCAAGCGCAUCGGGGAGCAGCGGGAGUCCCGGGAGAUCCGGGUGUGGGCGCGGCCGGAGCUGUCCGGGAUCCAGGUGUGGCCGCGCUGGGACCCCCCGGACACGGUGCCGUUCGCCGUCCGCCUGCACAGCUUCUACCCCCGCGGGAUCCACCGCAUCGCGUGGAGCUGGGACGGGGACGGUGCCGGGAGAGAAGAGCCCCCCGACAUCAGCCCCAACCCGGACGGCACCUUCACGGCGACGAGCGUGUGGAGAGUGCCCAGCCGGAGCCUGACCGGCCCGGGGCUGCGAGUGCGAGUGUGUGUGCAGCACGGCCCCGCAGACCCCCCGCUGGAGACAGAGCUGCGCCUGGGGGACGCCGAUCUCCUGAAGCCCCCGGAGGUGUCAGACAUCCUCAAGUCAGUGCCUGCAGGGGGGCGAGUCACCCUGAGCUGCCGCAUCGCGGGGCAUUUCCCGGGGGAGCUGAGCGUGACCUGGCUGCAGAAGCGCUCCGCUGGAUCUGUGCCCACGUCCCUGCAGGACUCGGCUGAGCACAGCAUCGACCCUGGCACGGCCGUCCUGGCACCGGACGGGAAGAGCUUCCAGCAGGAGACCAGACUCAGCCUCAGACACUCCACAUCCCAUCGCGUGGACACUGAGUACAUCUGCCGGGUGGGACACGUCACCCUGCGGACCCCCGUCGAGAGAAGCAGCGGCUGCCGUCCAUGCCCUCCACGAAUGGGCGAGGUGUCCCGGCCGCAGCUCCUGGUGCCCGGGCAGGCGGUGACCCUGCGGUGCCUGGUAUCGGGGUUCUACCCCGGGCAGGUGGCGGUGACCUGGCUGCGCAAGGGAGCAGGAGAGCGGGAGCCCAGGCCCGUGGACGGCUCCGACACCCACAGCAUCCACACCCCCGCCCCCAGCCGGGCGCCGGACGGGAAGUCCUACAGCGUGGAGUCCGAGCUGCACUUCACCCCGUCGGGGCCCGAGGACGACGGGGUCGAGUACCAGUGCAGGGUGGAGCAUGAGACCCUACAGAAAACAACAUCCAAAUCCACUGGGCCCCUGCCGCUCCGAGUUCAGCCACAACUGUCCCACAUCCACGUGUUGCCUGAUGGGAAGGCCCCACAGAAAACGCUGUUUGCCGUCCGCAUCGAGAACUUCUACCCCCAGCACAUCCAGCAGAUCCAAUGGAAAGUUGAUGGAAAAGCCUGGGAAAGGUCCAAGCCUAGCGAGAUCAUCCCCAACCCGGACGGCACCUUCACGGCAACGAGCGUGUGGAGAGUGCCCAGCCGGAGCCUGACCGGCCCGGGGCUGCGAGUGCGAGUGUCCGUGAAGCACAAUCCUGGAGAUAUCCCAAUGGAGAGAGAGCUGUGCCUGGGGGAUGCCGGUCAGUCCGCCCCAACCACGCAGGUUGCAGCACACGAGCCCCCCGCACCCUGA
Alligator mississippiensis (American alligator) is the source of this 1791-nucleotide non-coding RNA. The record is from the annotation of a RefSeq genome assembly. NCBI's taxonomy places the organism in Eukaryota, Metazoa, Chordata, Crocodylia, Alligatoridae.